AAUUUCUCUCUCUGCCCUUCCACAGAACCUCGGGGUUCUGUCCCAGUUUGCUUCCUAAAUGUCAUUUUGGCUGCAGCGGGGCACUGGAAGGGGUUCAAAGCAGGCAAAGGAUGAAGGGAAGUUCUCAGAGGCAGCUCCAGGAGCAAAUCAACAGAACGUCCUGCCCGGGGAGAUAACGGGGCUCUGCGGGGACACGGGGACACAGGGACACAGGGACACAGGGGACAUGCCAGGAGUGUCCCCUGCAGGUGACACAGGGGCCAUCCCAGGAUUGUCCCCUGCGGGUGGCACAGGGGCUGUGCCCUUUGCUUAAGAAUUCCCCUCUGGGCUGUGAUUUAUUCCUCUGAGGUUGAUUUUUU
Long non-coding RNA from Ficedula albicollis (Collared flycatcher), 359 nucleotides. The record is from Ensembl. NCBI's taxonomy places the organism in Eukaryota, Metazoa, Chordata, Aves, Passeriformes, Muscicapidae.